UGUGCUGAUUGCGACGGGGAAAUACCGGAUCCCAUUCCGAACUCCGAAGUCAAGCCCGUCUGCGGCAAUGGUACUGCAC
RNAcentral lists this ribosomal RNA (79 nucleotides) under Fluviispira sanaruensis. Lineage: Bacteria; Pseudomonadati; Bdellovibrionota; Oligoflexia; Silvanigrellales; Silvanigrellaceae. The record is from RNAcentral.